AGUGAACGCUGGCGGUAGGCCUAACACAUGCAAGUCGAACGGCAGCACAGUAAGAGCUUGCUCUUACGGGUGGCGAGUGGCGGACGGGUGAGGAAUACAUCGGAAUCUACUUUUUCGUGGGGGAUAACGUAGGGAAACUUACGCUAAUACCGCAUACGACCUACGGGUGAAAGCAGGGGAUCUUCGGACCUUGCGCGAUUGAAUGAGCCGAUGUCGGAUUAGCUAGUUGGCGGGGUAAAGGCCCACCAAGGCGACGAUCCGUAGCCGGUCUGAGAGGAUGAUCGGCCACACUGGAACUGAGCCACGGUCCAGACUCCUACGGGAGGCACCAGUGGGGAAUAUUGGACAAUGGGCGCAAGCCUGAUCCAGCCAUACCGCGUGGGUGAAGAAGGCCUUCGGGUUGUAAAGCCCUUUUGUUGGGAAAGAAAAGCAGCAGGUUAAUACCCCGCUGUUCUGACGGUACCCAAAGAAUAAGCACCGGCUAACUUCGUG
RNAcentral lists this ribosomal RNA (492 nucleotides) under uncultured bacterium. Its description in RNAcentral is "partial 16S ribosomal RNA". It matches the Rfam family "Bacterial small subunit ribosomal RNA", at positions 29 to 507 of the family's 1533-position model. The record is from RNAcentral.